RNAcentral lists this long non-coding RNA (504 nucleotides) under Phascolarctos cinereus (koala). Its description in RNAcentral is "lncRNA (ENSPCIG00000014923.2)". The record is from RNAcentral. Lineage: Eukaryota; Metazoa; Chordata; Mammalia; Diprotodontia; Phascolarctidae.
UGCCUCCCCACCCCCUCAGAGAUAUUUAGAAUGAGAAAAUGGUUUCAUUUCAGGGCUGUAUUCUUCUCCAACGCCACCCUAUGGAUGCCAAAUUGUCACUGUCCAGUGCCAGCAUACUCUGGGGCCAUCUCUCUACAAAUACAAUCCCUCAACAAAUAUUGAGUACCUAUGAGGCAAGAAUGACCUGCACCUGUGCCAGUGGGACCAAAAGAUGAGUUAUGGGAUCAAGAUACUUGAGAAGAUACAGAAAGAUAUAUAACUCCUACAUCCCCGAAAUCAAGGAGACUAAGGUUACCCCCAAUAGCCCUAUCCUCAGAGGUCUGUGCACUAGUUGGGGUAGAGGAAGUAGGACUAUGAAGAAGAUUCUAAAACAUAAGUGAGGGGGAAACAGAAGAAAAAUCUGAAAGAGAAAGAGAGAAAGCCCGAUUAAAAUCCCAAUCUGCAAGCAGAUAAACCAACAGAGGAGAUCAAAAGACGAAAAAAAAAAAGGAAAAGUGAGCAAAA